GAUGAACGCUAGCGAUAGGCUUAACACAUGCAAGUCGAGGGGCAGCAUGGUCUUAGCUUGCUAAGGCUGAUGGCGACCGGCGCACGGGUGCGUAACGCGUAUGCAACUUGCCUCACAGAGGGGGAUAACCCGUCGAAAGACGGACUAAUACCGCGUACACUCUAUGUUGGGCAUCCAAUGUAGAGGAAAUGAAAUUCGCUGUGAGAUAGGCAUGCGUCCCAUUAGCUAGUUGGUGAGGUAACGGCUCACCAAGGCGACGAUGGGUAGGGGAACUGAGAGGUUGAACCCCCACACUGGUACUGAGACACGGACCAGACUCCUACGGGAGGCAGCAGUGAGGAAUAUUGGUCAAUGGGCGAGAGCCUGAACCAGCCAAGUCGCGUGAAGGAUGACUGUCUUAUGGAUUGUAAACUUCUUUUAUACGGGAAUAACAAGAGUCACGUGUGGCUCCCUGCAUGUACCGUAUGUAUAAGCAUCGGCUAACUCCGUG
Molecule: ribosomal RNA, 490 nt
Filed under: uncultured bacterium
Lineage: Bacteria
Description: partial 16S ribosomal RNA
Rfam family: Bacterial small subunit ribosomal RNA
Source: RNAcentral